UGAGAUAAUAAAAUAUUUUAAAGAUUAUGAAUUACUGAAUGAUUGGGAUUAUAAAGAAGCUGACUGUCAGUCGUCCCUAACGCAGAUAACAAAAGACUUAAUGAAUGAUACGACGAUUUCAAGUUUGAAGGUUAAUUGCUUCACAUUUUCAGCCAAAUUUAUAUCGAAAAAAAUAAUAAUAAUAAAAUGGAUAGCACACUGCCUUUCUUAAAAGGAAGAAGAAAUGGAUGGGCAUAGACAGAAGAUUUAUUGGAUGGUUCACGACUAAUAUGGUAGACUAGGUU
Molecule: long non-coding RNA, 284 nt
Filed under: Ananas comosus (pineapple)
Lineage: Eukaryota; Viridiplantae; Streptophyta; Magnoliopsida; Poales; Bromeliaceae
Description: long non-coding RNA (ACOM_LNC015893)
Source: RNAcentral